AGAGUUUGAUUAUGGCUCAGGAUGAACGCUAGCGAUAGGCCUAACACAUGCAAGUCGAGGGGCAGCACAUGAAGUAGCAAUACGGAUGGUGGCGACCGGCGCACGGGUGAGUAACGCGUAUGCAACCUGCCUACAACAGGGGAAUAACCCGUUGAAAGACGGACUAAUACCCCAUAACACAGGGAUCCCGCAUGGGAAUAUUUGUUAAAGAUUUAUCGGUUGUAGAUGGGCAUGCGUUCCAUUAGCUGGUUGGUGAGGUAACGGCUCACCAAGGCAACGAUGGAUAGGGGAACUGAGAGGUUUAUCCCCCACACUGGAACUGAGACACGGUCCGGACUCCUACGGGAGGCAGCAGUGAGGAAUAUUGGUCAAUGGACGCAAGUCUGAACCAGCCACGUCGCGUGAAGGAAGACGGCCCUACGGGUUGUAAACUUCUUUUGUAAGGGAAUAAAGUGCAGUACGUGUACUGUUUUGCAUGUACCUUACGAAUAAGGAUCGGCUAACUCCGUGCCAGCAGCCGCGGUAAUACGGAGGAUCCGAGCGUUAUCCGGAUUUAUUGGGUUUAAAGGGUGCGCAGGCGGGAGAUUAAGUCGGCGGUGAAAUUUUGCAGCUCAACUGUAAAAGUGCCUUCGAAACUGGUUUUCUUGAGUGUGGAUGAAGUAGGCGGAAUUUGUGGUGUAGCGGUGAAAUGCAUAGAUAUCACGAGGAACUCCGAUUGCGCAGGCAGCUUACUAAACCAUAACUGACGCUCAGGCUCGAAGGCGUGGGGAUCAAACAGGAUUAGAUACCCUGGUAGUC
Molecule: ribosomal RNA, 798 nt
Filed under: uncultured Porphyromonadaceae bacterium
Lineage: Bacteria; Pseudomonadati; Bacteroidota; Bacteroidia; Bacteroidales; Porphyromonadaceae
Description: bacterial SSU rRNA
Rfam family: Bacterial small subunit ribosomal RNA
Source: RNAcentral